UGAUGCCGCACUUCGUCGCUGAAUGCACACUCCUCUUGCUGGCUUUGCUGA
RNAcentral lists this small RNA (51 nucleotides) under Euglena gracilis. Its description in RNAcentral is "Eg-m-Orphan17 box C/D-like small RNA". The record is from RNAcentral. Lineage: Eukaryota; Euglenozoa; Euglenophyceae; Euglenales; Euglenaceae.